RNAcentral lists this ribosomal RNA (464 nucleotides) under uncultured bacterium. Its description in RNAcentral is "partial 16S ribosomal RNA". It matches the Rfam family "Bacterial small subunit ribosomal RNA", at positions 338 to 795 of the family's 1533-position model. The record is from RNAcentral.
CCUACGGGUGGCUGCAGUGGGGAAUCUUGCGCAAUGCUCGUAAGAGUGACGCAGCGACGCCGCGUGAAUGACGAAGGCCUUCGGGUCGUAAAGUUCUUUCGACAGGGAAGCAAUGCCUAUAAGUCACUGUGUAUGUAUUGACUGUACCUGUAUAAGCAGCCCCGGCUAACUACGUGCCAGCAGCCGCGGUCAUACGGAGGGGUCGAGCGUUGUUCGGAGUGACUGGGCGUAAAGAGCACGUAGGCGGUGUUGUAAGUCAUUAGUCAAAGAGUAGAGCUCAACUUUAGUAAGGAUAGUGAUACUAUAAUACUAGAGUAUGAGAGAGGAUGGCAGAAUUCCUGGUGUAGCGGUGAAAUGCGUAGAUAUCAGGAGGAAUACCGUUAGCGAAGGCGGCAAACUGGCUGGAAACUGACGCUGAGGUGCGAAAGCGUGGGUAGCAAACAGGAUUAGAUACCCUAGUAGUC